RNAcentral lists this ribosomal RNA (350 nucleotides) under Mercenaria mercenaria. RNAcentral describes it as "partial 16S ribosomal RNA". It matches the Rfam family "Bacterial large subunit ribosomal RNA", at positions 1935 to 2541 of the family's 2925-position model. Lineage: Eukaryota; Metazoa; Mollusca; Bivalvia; Venerida; Veneridae. The record is from RNAcentral.
UGCAAUGAGAGUUGUGCUAAGGUAGCGUGAUAAGUUGUCUUUUAAUUGGAGAAUGGAAUGAAGGGUUUGACGUGAAAUUUCUUUUUUUAUAAAAGGUACUAAAGUUUCCUUCUAAGUGAAAAGGCUUAGGUUUUUGAAAAAGACGAGAAGACCCUGUCGAACUUGAUUAAGAAUUACUGGUUAUAGAUAUUUAAAAGUUUUAUUGGGGCAAUAUUAACUUAAAAAACAGUUAAUUUAUUCAUAGAUCCUUUUUGAAAGAAAGAGGAAAAAGUUACCGCAGGGAUAACAGCGUUAUUUCUUCUAAGAGAUCUUAUUGAGGAAGAAGUUUGCGACCUCGAUGUUGGAUUAUA